GCAAAAAUAGCUCAAUGGUAGAGUUUAAUCUUGCCAAGAGGGUUCGAAUCCCUUUUUUUGCU
Molecule: transfer RNA, 62 nt
Filed under: Phytophthora infestans T30-4
Lineage: Eukaryota; Oomycota; Peronosporomycetes; Peronosporales; Peronosporaceae
Rfam family: tRNA
About the family: Transfer RNA (tRNA) molecules are approximately 80 nucleotides in length. Their secondary structure includes four short double-helical elements and three loops (D, anti-codon, and T loops). Further hydrogen bonds mediate the characteristic L-shaped molecular structure. tRNAs have two regions of fundamental functional importance: the anti-codon, which is responsible for specific mRNA codon recognition, and the 3' end, to which the tRNAs corresponding amino acid is attached (by aminoacyl-tRNA synthetases). tRNAs cope with the degeneracy of the genetic code in two manners: having more than one tRNA (with a specific anti-codon) for a particular amino acid; and 'wobble' base-pairing, i.e. permitting non-standard base-pairing at the 3rd anti-codon position.
Source: Rfam by way of RNAcentral